AGAGGUUGACCCGGCGCAUCGGGACUGAGACACUGCCCGGACUCCUACGGGAGGCUGCAGUAACGAAUAUUGGUCAAUGGGCGAAAGCCUGAACCAGCGACGCCGCGUGUGGGAGGAAGCCCUUCGGGGUGUAGACCACUGUCAGGGAUUACCAAGCAAUGGAGGCUAAUACCCUCCUGCGUUGAGGCGUCCCAGAGGAAGUCACGGCUAACUUCGUGCCAGCAGCCGCGUGUAAUACGCAACGGUGGCGAAGCCGUUGUUCGCGAAUCACUGGGCUUAAAGAGCACGUAGGCGUGACUGCCAAGCGUCUUGUUGAAAUCCCCCGGCUCAACCGGGGAAUUGCUGGGCGGAACUGGUAGUCUUGAGGCAAGUAGGGGCAGAUGGAACUCUUGGUGGANCGGUGGAAUGCGUAGAUAUCAAGAGGAACGCCAGAGGCGAAGGCGAUCUGCUGGGCUUGACCUGACGCUGAGGUGCGAAAGCCAGGGGAGCAAACGGGAUUAGAUACCCCGGUAGUCCUGGCCAUAAACGAUGUCCACUAGAUCGGUGAACUUCUGACAGUGUGCCGGUCGAAACAAAAGCGUUAAGUGGACCGCCUGGGGAGUACGGUCGCAAGGCUAAAACUCAAAGGAAUUGACGGGGGCUCACACAAGCGGUGGAGCAUGUUGCUUAAUUCGAUGCAACGCGAAGAACCUUAUCCUGGGCUUGACAUGCUUGGAUGCCCAUCUGGAAACAGAGUAGGCUGCCCUUCGGGGUGAAACUUGCACAGGUGCUGCAUGGCUGUCGUCAGCUCGUGUCGUGAGAUGUUGGGUUAAGUCCCGUAACGAGCGAAACCCUUGUCGUUAGUUGCCAGCGCGUAAUGGCGGGGACUCUAGCGAGACUGCCGGUGUUAAACCGGAGGAAGGUGGGGAUGACGUCAAGUCCUCAUGGCCUUUAUGCCCAGGGCUGCAAACGUGCUACUAUGGCGAGGACAAACCGACGCAAAGCCGCGAGGUCGAGCAAAUCGGAGAAACCUUGCCCCAGUUCGGAUUGGAGUCUGCAACUCGACUCCAUGAAGUCGGAAUCGCUAGUAAUCGCGUAUCAGCGUGACGCGGUGAAUAUGUUCCUGAGCCUUGUACACACCGCCCGUCAAGUCAUGGAAGCUGGGAGC
Molecule: ribosomal RNA, 1147 nt
Filed under: uncultured organism
Description: bacterial SSU rRNA
Rfam family: Bacterial small subunit ribosomal RNA
Source: RNAcentral